CCCUUCGUGGUGUAGUGGUCAGCACGCUCGACGAGUAACCGAGAGGUCCGUGGUUCGAUUCCCGGCGAUGGCG
This 73-nucleotide transfer RNA is filed under the name Stegodyphus mimosarum. It matches the Rfam family "tRNA". Rfam says of the family: Transfer RNA (tRNA) molecules are approximately 80 nucleotides in length. Their secondary structure includes four short double-helical elements and three loops (D, anti-codon, and T loops). Lineage: Eukaryota; Metazoa; Arthropoda; Arachnida; Araneae; Eresidae. The record is from Rfam by way of RNAcentral.